Molecule: ribosomal RNA, 505 nt
Filed under: uncultured diatom
Lineage: Eukaryota; Bacillariophyta
Description: SSU rRNA
Rfam family: Eukaryotic small subunit ribosomal RNA
Source: RNAcentral
CUGACACAGGGAGGUAGUGACAAUAAAUAACAAUGCCGGGCCUAUACAGGUCUGGCAAUUGGAAUGAGAACAAUUUAAAUCCCUUAUCGAGUAUCAAUUGGAGGGCAAGUCUGGUGCCAGCAGCCGCGGUAAUUCCAGCUCCAAUAGCGUAUAUUAAAGUUGUUGCAGUUAAAAAGCUCGUAGUUGGAUUUCUGGCAGGAGUGACCGGUCACACACUCUGUGUGUGAACUCGCGUUGUCUCUGGCCAUCCUUGGGGAGAUCCUGUUUGGCAUUAAGUUGUCGGGCAGGGGAUACCCAUCGUUUACUGUGAAAAAAUUAGAGUGUUUAAAGCAGGCUUAUGCCGUUGAAUAUAUUAGCAUGGAAUAAUAAGAUAGGACUUCGGAACUAUUUUGUUGGUUUGCGUUACGAAGUAAUGAUUAAUAGGGACAGUUGGGGGCACUCGUACUCCGUUGUCAGAGGUGAAAUUCUUGGAUUGACGGAAGACGAACAACUGCGAAAGCAUCUG